UCACAGUGAUCCACUGUUCAACAAGUGUGCACAUGGCAGUGACAUUCCAGCCAGAAAGUGGUUAAAACCUGGUAAACAAAACUGGUUAUAGUAUUCUUAUGUAGCUGUAUAUUGCUUGUGAUAUUAUCCUUGAGUGGAGAGAUGAUGCAUGCUUGCUUUUUAAAUCCUAUGUUAUAGAUUCACAGCUCUAUGAGAAAGUCUCUGCUGCACUUACCAACCAAAGACUGAUAAAAGGCAUUCAACAGGCUUCACCAUUAGACCAGACAAGUUGCCUUGAGGGAUUUCACAGUGUCUUAAAUCAAUUUGC
Paramuricea clavata is the source of this 307-nucleotide non-coding RNA. Lineage: Eukaryota; Metazoa; Cnidaria; Anthozoa; Malacalcyonacea; Plexauridae. The record is from the annotation of a GenBank genome assembly.